This 429-nucleotide ribosomal RNA is filed under the name Chloroflexota bacterium. Its description in RNAcentral is "Chloroflexi bacterium partial 16S ribosomal RNA". It matches the Rfam family "Bacterial small subunit ribosomal RNA", at positions 355 to 776 of the family's 1533-position model. Lineage: Bacteria; Bacillati; Chloroflexota. The record is from RNAcentral.
UGGGGAAUAUUGCACAAUGGGCGCAAGCCUGAUGCAGCCAUGCCGCGUGUGUGAAGAAGGCCUUCGGGUUGUAAAGCACUUUCAGCGGGGAGGAAGGCGGUGAGGUUAAUAACCUCAUCGAUUGACGUUACCCGCAGAAGAAGCACCGGCUAACUCCGUGCCAGCAGCCGCGGUAAUACGGAGGGUGCAAGCGUUAAUCGGAAUUACUGGGCGUAAAGCGCACGCAGGCGGUCUGUCAAGUCGGAUGUGAAAUCCCCGGGCUCAACCUGGGAACUGCAUGCGAAACUGGCAGGCUAGAGUCUUGUAGAGGGGGGUAGAAUUCCAGGUGUAGCGGUGAAAUGCGUAGAGAUCUGGAGGAAUACCGGUGGCGAAGGCGGCCCCCUGGACAAAGACUGACGCUCAGGUGCGAAAGCGUGGGGAGCAAACAGG